AACGAACGCUGGCGGCAGGCUUAACACAUGCAAGUCGAACGCACCUUUCGGGGUGAGUGGCAGACGGGUGAGUAACGCGUGGGAAUCUACCCUUCUCUACGGGAUAGCUCCGGGAAACUGGAAUUAAUACCGUAUACGUCCUGAGGGAGAAAGAUUUAUCGGGGAAGGAUGAGCCCGCGUUGGAUUAGCUAGUUGGUGGGGUAAAGGCCUACCAAGGCGACGAUCCAUAGCUGGUCUAAGAGGAUGAUCAGCCACAUUGGGACUGAGACACGGCCCAAACUCCUACGGGAGGCAGCAGUGGGGAAUAUUGGCCAAUGGGCGCAAGCCUGAUCCAGCCAUGCCGCGUGAGUGAUGAAGGCCCUAGGGUUGUAAAGCUCUUUCAGUGGGGACGAUAAUGACGGUACCCACAGAAGAAGCCCCGGCUAACUUCGUG
RNAcentral lists this ribosomal RNA (433 nucleotides) under uncultured bacterium. RNAcentral describes it as "partial 16S ribosomal RNA". It matches the Rfam family "Bacterial small subunit ribosomal RNA", at positions 29 to 507 of the family's 1533-position model. The record is from RNAcentral.